RNAcentral lists this unclassified non-coding RNA (375 nucleotides) under plant metagenome. RNAcentral's name for it is "partial contains 5.8S ribosomal RNA, internal transcribed spacer 2, and large subunit ribosomal RNA". The stretch from base 1 to 107 matches the Rfam family "5.8S ribosomal RNA", at positions 50 to 154 of the family's 154-position model. The record is from RNAcentral.
AAAAUGCGAUACUUGGUGUGAAUUGCAGAAUCCCGUGAACCAUCGAGUUUUUGAACGCAAGUUGCGCCCGAAGCCAUCCGGCUGAGGGCACGCCUGCCUGGGCGUCACGCAUCGCGUCGCUCCCGACCAUACCUCCCCAACGGGUUGGCAUGGUGUUGGGGGCGGAUAAUGGCCUCCCGUGCUUGUGUUUCGGUUGGCCUAAAUAAGAGUUCCCUUCGGCGGACACACGACUAGUGGUGGUUGAAUAGACCCUCGUCUUUUGUUGCGUGUCGUGAGCUGUAAGGGUAGCCCUCAUCAAAGACCCCAUUGUAUCGUCUUCGGAUGAUGCUUCGACCGCGACCCCAGGUCAGGCGGGACUACCCGCUGAGGUUAAGC